UCGGCCUUUUUGACGCCCUAAACAUACACGAAAACGCAUGAAAAUCGCCACACACAUCAGAACCGGCGAAAAAUUUGAUAUUUUAGGGAAAUGGCACGCGUGCGUGCCAAAAUGGCUCAAUACCGCCCCCUAGAAAAUUAAGAAAAUUCAGUCCCCGGACAGUGUUUGACCUAGACUUCUGAAAUUCGGUACACAUAUGUAACUCAUCAAGACGCACAAAAAAUCUUCUUGCAUCAUUACCCAUAAUGCAACAGGAAGUCGGCCAUUUUGAAUUAUGAGUCAUUUUUGGACAUUUUUGGAUAUAUAUAAACUCAAACAGCGUAAUCCUGAGAGAGCUGAAAUUUGGCCAGGAUGUACUCCAGUCAUGGGUGAUCAAAAGUUAUCAAAACGCUCCGCAAAAGUCUGAGGACGCGGAAAUGGCGAGCCACGGAAUGCGGCCAUUUUGAAAUAUGAUUCAUAUUUUGGACAAUUUUGUCAUUUUUGGACAUUUCCAAAAGCUAUAAACUCAAACAGCUUAACCCCGACAGAGCUCAAACUUGGCCAGGAUGUACUCCCGUCAUGGUUGAUCAAAAGUUAUCAAAACGCUCUGCAAAAGUUUGAGGGCGUGGAAAUGGCGAGCCACGGAAUGCGGCCAUUUUGAAAUAUGAUUCAUAUUUUGGACAAUUUUGUCAUUUUUGGACAUUUUCAAAAGCUAUAACCUCAAACAGCGUAACCACGAGAGAGCUCAAAUUUGGUCAGGAUGGACACCAGUCAUGGUUGAUCAAAAGUUAUCAAAACGCUCCGCAAAAGUCUGAGGGCGUGGCCAUAGUUACCAGCGGAAUGCGGCCAUUUUGAAUGUCUUGCCAUGAAACAGGAAGUGCUGUCUAACUAGCCUGUACAUGCUCCAGUCUGCUUCAAAUUAUACAUGCGUGAUCAGAGUCCAGCCCUAAUCACGUCCAUAGGUUGAUAUACACUCACAGUCAUAGCGCCACAUGGCGGCCAUUUUGAAUUUCUCGCCAUUAAACAGGAAGUGCUGUGUAACCAGACUGUACAUGCUCCAAUCUGCCUGAAAUUUUACAUGCAUGAUCAGAGUCCGGCCCUAAUCACACCUUUGUGCCACUUGGCGGCCAUUUUGGAUUUCUCGCCAUGAAACAGGAAGUGCUGUGUAACCAGCCUGUACAUGCUCCAAUCUGCCUGAAAUUUUACAUGCAUGAUCAGAGUCCGGCCCUAAUCACAUCUUUGUGCCACUUGGCGGCCAUUUUGGAUUUCUCGCCAUGAAACAGGAAGUGCUGUGUAAGUAGCCUGUACAUGCUCCAAUCUGCCUGAAACUUUACUCUCUCAGUUGCAGCGCCUCCUGGUGGAUAUGCGUGGGCCAGUCGGGCCGCUCGGAUGCAAGGACCCGUCCAACGCUGCUUGCAGCUUUUAUUGGUUUAGUGGUUGGAAGUCAAUAAAACAUUAGCGUCAGUCAAAUUGAAUGCGUCAGUGGAUGGAAGUGGUGGUUGCCUUGUGCUGCUCUUCACUUCACUGCAGCUCCAUGGCUCCAUCUGCUGGACGGACAGAAGUGCAGCAGCUGAUGGCAGCUUCUUUGAACUCACGCUGCUGUCAGACCCCAGAUUAGGGUUUAUUUCAGAUAUAUAUAAUAGAAAAUAGUAAUUAAAAAAUAAGCUGAUGUUGUAUUUUUGCAGCAGUGAGUUUUACAGGGUUAAAAGCAACCAGUCAAAGGUUAUUACUGAGGAUUUUAAACAAAAACAUUCAGGCAAACAGUUAACAUCAUAGGGUGCCUGACAUGUUUGUUUUUUUUCCGGGUCGAUACAGAUUUUUUUUGUAAUCAAGGAGAUCAAUAACCAAGAUUUGGAAUCGCUACACAUUUGCAGAAAAAAUAAAGUUUUUGAACAGCACAUAAAGUUAAGUUAAAAUUAAAAUAAUCACGAGUUGCAGCCUUUGCUUAUUUAUGUUUUACAUGCUGAAGUUGUCCUUCAGUGUUUCACUGAUCAGAUUGUGCUGUGGGCAGGAACAAGAUCAGAGGGAGGCAGCUGCAGCAGACCCAAAGUAGUUUCACAUUCAUUUAUCUGAUCAGAUUUCAGGGGGCUUUUUUUUUUUUUUUAAGAAAUGGGACCAAUAAUUGAAAACAUGCUAAAUAUCAGAUGGGAUCAUUGGUGUCACAGGACAUCUGCAGACACAGGUCAAAGAUUACAAGGAGUUUAUUUAACGAAUGAAACUAAAACCAACACAGAAAGGAUAACUAAACCAAGGUGAAAACAAAAAGGGGAAACCAGACUAAUUGUAGGAGAAAGGUUCUGGUUUCAAAGUCUCUGGUCUGGCAGAGAGCGGAAGAAUGAAGAACCGGGCCUUCGUGGAUUAAGGUGAUUGAGAACAGGUGAAUCAACCCCCACACCCGUGAGAGAGAUGGAUGGAUGGAUGGAUGGAUGGAUGGAUGGAUAGAUAGGUAGGGAGGUAGAUGGACCAUAGAUAGAUGGAUGGAUAGGUAGAUUCUGCAGUGGGGAAAUUUUCAGUGUGGCAGUAGCAGAUAGGAAAAAAAGUAAAAAGAAAAGCAGCACUCAGUGCACAGAUAUAAAUAGAUGCUUUCUCCUUAGAGAAGAAAUAGAAAUGCUUGUAAAAAAAAAAAAAAACCUUGUGAAAUUGCACAUAUUGACUUAUUUACAUUUUAUUGCAGUUACGUCAUGGGUGAUCUGAACUACUGGGAGCAGGCUUGAUUGAACACAGUCUGACUGCUGCAGGAAGGAAGGACCUCCUUCAAACAUCGUGGGUGAAGCAGUCUGUCCCUGAAGGAGCUGCCGGUGAUGGUCCUGUUUCCUGCAGGGGGUGGGAGAUGUCCUCCAUGAUAGACAACAGCUUUGUCAUCAUCCUCCUGUCUACCACCAGCCCAGGACAGAGCUUGCUUUCUUAACCAGUUUCUUUAGUCUCUUCCUGUCUGCAGCCGUGAUGCUGCUGCUCCAGCAGACCACUCCAUACAGGAUGGCUGAUACCACCACACAACCAUAAAAGGUCCUCAGAAUUGCUCCCUGCACCCCGAAGGACCUCAGUUUCCUGAGCAGGUGAAGUCUGUUCUGACCUUUCUUACACCGUGCGUUGGUGUUCUAUCUCUAGACAUGUUUGAAUGUCUUUAUCAAUAAAUGGUCAAACACAUGUUGAGUGUCAGUUCAGCUCUUUGUUCCACACAUGUAUAUGUUCCUAUGUGAUUGGUGUCUUGCAGUCAGAGUGUAAAGAAUUGAAGCUGUCAGAGGCUUUCUGUGGUGAAGAGGCUGCAGGACAUCAGCUGCUCCAACAGCUCUGGUCCUGGUCACUGUUGGAGAAUCACCCUGCAGUGUUUUUGAACCGGUCGUCAGGAAACAGAGAAGCUAAUGAGGCUUCACUUCAGACCUCAUUACCCAGAGGUCUUUGCUGCACCGCCACCCGGUCCGGUCACACGGAGAACCAGAGUCUCUCCUUCCUGCUUUUCAGCUGCUUCCAACGGCUCCUGUGAGACUCGGAGGGAAUUAAUUUGGCAGGAAAAUGAAGACCAAGCAAUGAAUUGAAUAACCAAGAAAGUACCUGACAGACCGAUCACCAGCUAAACCUCAGCAUCGCUUCCAUCACUGAACUGUAGCUGUAAUUGAAUUUCACCCAAAAGUGAUGAGAAGUCUGACAAUCAGCACAACAGGAGGCAAAAGCAGGACACAGGUCACAUGUAGAGGCUCCCUGAUGGAACAUUUAUCUCAUCGAAGCUGGACUGACCUGUAUAAUCCACACACAAGGUCACACCACCUCUAGUUAUUAACACAGUCGUCUAUAGAAGCUGUAAAGCUUAUUGAAAUAGUGCAUGGUGUGUUUGCAUGUGUUUGUGCUUCUACUGUGAUCAUCUCACCUCCAUUCAUGAUUUAUAGACCGAAUGCUGCAGGGAUGUAGAGGGGUUUAGCUGGAAUUGUGACACAGUAAAGUGUUAAAAAACAUGGAAGUUAUCAAUGCAUAUUUACGCUGUUGAUCUAAAGUUGUACGCUCAGAACUGCAAGUAUAAAAAAUACAAUCAGGUGGGAUUAUACUAGAGUUAACUUCGAAAGUUUAGUUCAGACUUUCAGCUUUCAAAGCAGAAUUAACCUUGUAUGGAAACUUGUACACUAAAUAACUGACCAACAAUGAGAGUAUUUAGGUAGGUUUUAAGUAGCUUUUCAGCACAUUCCACAAUAUAAGACAGAAAAUAGGCAAAAACAAGAAGGCAGGAGCUUUUUAACUGUAUGUUUGUCUCAUUUUUAAGCUCUGUCUAUGAGUAAGCAUAUGAAUAUUUUUUAAAAACCCAGAAAAUGAUUAUUUAAGCUAAGCUGGACCCAGAUACGAUAAGUAAAGAUAAGUUAAGCUAAAUUGAGCUAAGCUAAGCCAAGCUAAGAUGAGCUAAGCUAAGAUGAUCUAAGCUAAAAUGAGCUAAGCUAAGCCAAGAUAAACUAAGCUAACCUAAAAUUUUAUGAAUUCUUAGGGAAGUUCCUGUGCCAGAUAUUGCUCAGAAAAACAAAAAAAACAUAAGAAAUACCAUGUAGAAAAGCAAUACGAUAUAAAUACAAUAUAAUGCAGAAAUAAAAUAUGGAAGCUAAAAUAAGAUUUAAAUAAAGUGAAAAGUAAAAAGUGGUGAACCUUUUCUAGUGGUCUUUAUUAAAAUAGAUCAAUAAAAGUUAUUGAAAAUUGUCAAUAAUGACAAAAAUGGACCAUUUUAUUAUAACUGUUCAGCGCUAAUGAAAUACAUUGGUCUAUUCUCUGAAUAUCGUUUUUGACUGCAAUAAUAGAAAUGAACAUAUUCAUAUCAUACCUUGUCUUGAUUAUACCUUUAUUAUAUCCACAUUUUAAGCCUUAUUGGACACAUUUUUACAAUUCUUGUCCUGUUACUUCCAUGUCUCGUCUGUAUCUACCUGCUGUAACAGGUAAAUUUCCUGCUCAGCGAUCAAUAAAGUUUGUUUUUUUAAUCUUAUACAGAGACAAAUGUGAAAAAAGGAGGACUUCUAACUUAUUUAAACAAUUAUCAUCAUUCCAUCAAAUAUUAUUUCACAUAACAAGGUUAUUUAUGGUACCAAGAACCAGAAAAAAGCAAAUUUACUGUAUAUCUCAACAACUUCUUCUACUUAUCUCUUUAUUUUUUACAAAAAAAUGAAGUUUUUCUGAUUCUGAUAUCCUCUCGUCUAACUGAAGUGGGUCACCAUCGCAUUGACUCCACUUCCCAUCUAUCAUUUUAUAGAGCAGCUUGUAAUUGCUCUUUAAUCUUGACACCGCUGGAGUAGCUGGUGGAGUAUUAGCUCUGGAUGUGUGUGAAGGCCGAGCUAUCUGAGAGCAGGAACCAUUAAUGGAGGCUAAAUCCCUCCAAUAUCCUGACCUCGCACUCUCCUCUGACAGAUAAGACGCGAUCAUCGGGAUGGCGGGGACCAGCCGGUGAACAGGCUGCAGAAAGGCCAGCGACAGUAGGGUAAGACAGGAUCAGCACAGUGGAUGUUAUCAGGAAAGAGCAUCGGGGAAGGGUUUUAACGUCGCGCACAGUGACCAACUGUAGAGUUGGAGUGCAAAAGGCGACACACUGAAGCUAAGAGGAUAGUUCCACGUCUGAUGUCGCGGUUUAGAUAUGGUUACAGCUGUGAAUAGGUCAGGAUUUAUGUGUGAAUUUUUCUAAAAAUAUCAUGUCUGAGCUAUAAUCUUUUAUUAACAUGCAGAUGAACUUACAAAAAAUCUAAAGGCAAGUCUUGUUUACUUGAUUUUCUUGUUCAAGAAGAAUUACCCAACAAGCAAGAAAUGGUUCCUCAACGUUAGCAAACAUUACCUACAUAUUCUAACAAUUUAUGUAAAGUAGACACUUAAUAUAAUACUCAAAUGUUUUAAGCACAAUUCUCAUUUCAAAUAAUGUUCCUGUUAGGUGACAUAUUAUCUAAUAUAGAACAUUUUGCCUGCAGUAUUUUGAGGAUAUUUUGGGGAUGUUGAGGGAACACAUUACAGAAUGUUCUUCCAUAAAACACUCCCAAAAUGCUAAAUGAUAACAAAUGAAGGAUGUCGUCAAUGCAACGUUCAGCAAAUGUUUUAUGGGAUUUAUCGGGACUUUUUCAUCCACAAAGCAUUUUUAGAAUGUCCAUAGAGAACCUUUGCAGCUGGAAACGUUACUAGAACUUUCUCAGAACAUUUGUAGAACAAAAAAUUCCAGCUGUGUCUUUGUUAAUGUCAAAAGAACAUUCAAAUAACGUGCAAAUCGUGCUGGUUAAAGAAAUAAGGUGCAAAAUUGCUGGUGUUUGCAAUAGAGUAUAAAGAAGUUUAAUGAAUAUCCUUGGUGCUGUCUUGGUGGCGUCCUCUGCUACCAAGACUCCAAGAGUGUUGGUGGCCUCCUUUGAAGCUUGCAACUCCUUCAGAGUAGUCAUGGGUAUCAUGGUGGCCUCCUCUGAUGCUUUUAACUCCUUUCGAGAAGUCAUAGGUGUCUAGGUGACCUCCUCUGAAGCUCCUAACUCUUUUAGAGGACUCAGUGUCUAGGUGGCCUCCUCUGAUGCAUUUAACUUCUUUAGGGGAGUCAUAGAUCUCUUGGUGGCAUCAUCUGAUGCAUUUAACUCCUUUAGAGGAGUCUUGGGUGUCUUGGUGGCCUCCUCUGAUGCAAUUAACUCCUUCAGAGGAGUCAUGUGUGUCUUGGUGCCCUCCUCUGAAGCUUCUAAAUCCUUUAGAGAAGUCAUUGGUGUCUUGGUGGCCUCCUCUGAUGCUUUUAACUCCUUCAGAGGAGUCAUAGGUGUCUUGGUGGUCCCUUCUGAAGCUUACAACUCCUUCAGAGGAAUCUUGGGUGUCUUGGUGGCCGCUUCUGAUGCAUUUAACUCCUUUUGAGAAGUCAAAUGUGUCUUGGUGGCCUCAUCUGAAGCCUCUAACUCCUUCAGAGGAUUCUUGGGUGUCUUGGUGGCCUCCUCUCAGUUUUCUUGCAACCAUCCACUGACUUGUGCUUUUCAUUAAUGAGUUUAUAGAAGCACAGUGACACGUCACUCUGAACAUUUGAUAAUGUCAACAUAAAGAGGUGACUGCAUCCUGAAAACUCCCACAGUGUCCCACUUGUGUCUAUAUCAAAACAAUAUUGAUUAAACAUCUCAAUCUGAAACAUAUAUUUGGUUGUCACAAAUGAUUAGUUCAAGGAUGGUUACAUGUUCUGGCUCUGAUAAAUGGUGGAAUUACGAUGACAUGCCUUUGACACCCACUGGCAGCUAUUGGGGUUCAGAGGGUUAAAAAAAACUGAUUAAAGAAGUAAUUUUUUCUUGCACUAGCUAGAAUCUCUUCCUCUGCAGGAAUAAACCUCCAAUAGUGAGAUUGUACGUGGACAGAAUUUGAAAUAUGCAACAUUUUGCUUUAAAAAUUACCUCCAGGGAGUUUUCAGAUGUUUGAUACAGAAGAUAUAACCAGAUAAUAAACCGCAAAUCAAAGUCAGGGCUUGAGUUUUGGCCAAUUACAUCACCAAAAACAAACAUGGAAGAGUGGCUGACUGCUACUGUGAUGUUUUCCAGCUGCAAAUAUCUGAAUGUGUGACAGGAAUUUAUGGAGAAGAAGUCAGAGAGAGUCUUUUAAAUUAGAUGGUCUGAAGAUGUUCCUGUAGAUUCAGCAGGUUCUUCGAAUAAAUUUGAAGUGACAGGUGUGAAUACAGAGCAGCUAAAAAUCAAGACCUUAUCGUGAAACAAAGGCUUUUACAGUUUUAUAGACGGACUGACUCAUUCGCCUUAAUUUUGUCACUGUUUCUUUGAGGUCUUCUUCUGUACAACAGUCACCUCUUCCACUGGGACGUAUAAAAGUGUCCAUGAAGCUUUCAGGUAGAUUGUAAGCAGCUCUGAAUAAACGACUCCCGGGUCUUAAACUCAUCUGAUUCUGACAUUGACGAGAAGCCGCUUUCAAAGACCCCCACAGGACGUAAACUUCCACCGAGCGAAGCUGCUGCUGCCUGAUUUAUUAUCAACAGGAAUACUGUGAUAACAGUGAGAGCGAGGUGGAGGAUUUAAUAAGAGCGCCAGAGUUAAUUGGCUUCCUGUUUUCAAAGUGGAACUGACAGAACGAACAGCGGAGAGAUAAAAGUGGCGGGAGAACGGACGGAUAGCGGCGAAUACCAACACUCUGAAAUGAGUAAACGUGAAGAUGUGUGGAGAAGAUUUGUUCAGAAAAUACAGCUUUUGGAGAACAUCAAUAGAUUAGUCCAAAUAUUCAAUCUAGAAACAAAUUAGAUCUCAUAGAGACAACUGGAAUCAUGAUCACUGGGUGAAAUUUCACAAGUCUGACCUGCAGUUUGAUUUAUAGGAGUUUUUCUUUAAAUCAUAUCAGCAUGCAGCAGCUGCUUGCAUUUCAUCUAACAUUAUACACCUCAUUGUUGGUUUACUUAAUCAAAUACACUUGUUUUGUUGUUAUUGUAUCAAUACUAAAAUGAAAGAAGCUUCAGCACAUAUUUCAGACGUAAAGUUUCCCAUAAAACUUAGCAAAAUCAUUUGAGAAUACGAUCGGAAAGGUGAAAGACAAUCAUAAAAAUUAUAAAAUUAUUCUGUCUUCACAUAAUGUGGAUGGAUGGAACUGAAAAUGCAGAAAACAAGACAGAAGGAGAAGCAAAAAAAGGAUGUUUUCUAAAAUAUUGAAAAGGUAAAUCAAAAGUUCACAUCAUGAUGUUGCCACCACCGUUCUAUACAUCAUGAUGCUGCCACCACCGUGCUUCACAUCAUGAUGCUGCCACCACCGUGCUUCACAUCAUGAUGCUGCCACCACCAUGCUUCACAUCAUGAUGCUGUCACCACCGUGCUUCACAUCAUAAUGCUGCCACCACCAUGCUUCACAUCAUGAUGCUGCCACCACCGUGCUUCACAUCAUGAUGCUGCCACCACCAUGCUUCACAUCAUGAUGCUGCCACCACCAUGCUUCACAUCAUGAUGCUGCCACCACCAUGCUUCACAUCAUGAUGCUGCCACCGCCGUGCUUCCCAUCAUGAUGCUGCCACCACCGUGCUUCAGAUCAUGAUGCUGCCACCGCCGUGCUUCACAUCAUGAUGCUGCCACCACCAUGCUACACAUCAUGAUGCUGCCACCACCAUACUUCAUUUUAUGAUGCUGCCACCACAUUUCACAUCAUGAUGCUGCCACCACCAUGCUUCACAUCAUGAUGCUGCCACCGCCAUGCUUCACAUCAUGAUGCUGCCACCGCCGUGCUUCAGAUCAUGAUGCUGCCACCGCCGUGCUUCACAUCAUGAUGCUGCCACCACCAUGCUUCACAUCAUGAUGCUGCCACCACCAUACUUCAUUUUAUGAUGCUGCCACCACAUUUCACAUCAUGAUGCUGCCACCACCAUGCUUCACAUCAUGAUGCUGCCACCACCGUGCUUCACAUUAUGAUGCUGCCACCACCAUGCUUCACAUCAUGAUGCUGCCACCACCGUGCUUCACAUUAUGAUGCUGCCACCACCGUGCUUCACAUCAUGAUGCUGCCACCACCGUGCUUCACAUCAUGAUGCUGCCACCACCGUGCUUUACAUCAUGAUGCUGCCACCACAUUUCACAUCAUGAUGCUGCCACCACCAUGCUUCACAUCAUGAUGCUGCCACCACCAUUCUAUACAUCAUGAUGCUGCCACCACCAUGCUUCACAUCAUGAUGCUGCCACCACCGUGCUUCACAUCAUGAUGCUGCCACCACCAUGCUUCACAUCAUGAUGCUGCCACCACCAUGCUUCACAUCAUGAUGCUGCCACCACCAUGCUUCACAUCAUGAUGCUGCCACCACCAUUCUAUACAUCAUGAUGCUGCCACCACCAUUCUAUAUAUCAUGAUGCUGCCACCACCGUGCUUCACAUCAUGAUGCUGCCGCCAUCAGGAGCCCUGCCUGACUCUACCUCCCCAAUCUGUCUGAUUCUAUCUCUUCUGUCUAUCUUUCCUCACAAAAAACAAGUGAUGCUGAAACCAUACCUACCGAAAAACACAUCUUGAAAAAGAAAAAAAAGGAAAAAAACGGAGUAUAAAACUUACCUGUGGGAACAACACACAUACAGAAAUACCUGAAAGAAAGAAUAAAAUCAGAACAAUUAGACCAGGGGGAUACUAACAAACAAAUUACUUAUUAAUUAGUAACACUCACCUUUGGAAAAAAAAAAACACACACAAAAACGACAACAUAAAAAAAGAAAAAAAAAUCAAACACAAUACUAUCCUAAUAGAACAAUACCUACCUUGAAGGUAUCUGAAAGAUGAAGAGAUAAAAGAUAAAAUAAAAUAAGAGAAACAGUAAACCAGAAAUACACUGACAAGUAGAGUGUAUUAUCAUUCUGACAAUAACUAUAAUGCAAACAUUCAUAGAUCGGCCUGAAGAAAAUGUAAGACACACAGAAAAAAAACACAAAAAACAAAUCAAACAAAAAAAAGGGGGAUUGUAAUAAUUACCUAUUAUAAACGAUACACGACAAAGAAACACCUGGAGGGAGAAAGUAGAACACAGAACUAUCAGACCUCGAUAAUUAGAUAAAGCUUUUGACUGGUGAAGAAUAAGCAGGAGUUGUUGCAGGUACAGUCUCAGCCACUGAAGCUUGUAACUCCUUCAGAGGAGUCAUGGGGUCUUGGUGGCCUCCUCUGAAGCUUGUAACCUCUUUAAAGAAAUCAUAGUUGUCUUGGUGGCCUCCUCUGAAGCUUGUAACUCCUUCAGAGGAAUCAUGGGUGUCUAGGUGGCCUGCUCAGAAACUUGAAACUCCUACAGAGAAGUCAUAGUUGACUUGAUGGCCUCCUCUGAACGUUGUAACUUCUUUAGAGAAGUCAUAGAUGUCUUAAUGGCCUCCUCUAAAGCUUGUAACUUCAUUAGAGCAGUCAUGGGUGUCUCGGUUUCCUCCUCUGAUGCAUUUAACCCCUUUAGAGGAGUCAUCUAUGUCUUGGUGGCCUCCUCUGAGGCAUUUAACUCCUUUAGAGGAGUCGUAGGUGUCUUGCUGGUCUACUUCUUGCUCAGUGACUCCCUUUCUCAGUACAGCUUGUUGUAGGCAGGUUUACAUGUGCCAUAUUCCUUCCAUUACAUAAUGUUAGAUUUAACUGUACUUUAAGGGACAUUCAUUGACUUGUAAAUUUUCUUGCAUCCAUCCACUGACUUAUUUUUAAUAACCUGUUCAUGGUCUUGCUUGGAGUGUCUUUUGUCUUGUGGUGUAGUUAUAUCCAGCAGUACUGAUUCACCGUUGACUGGACCUUCCAGAUACAGGCGUUUUUAUACUACAGUCAUUGAGACACAUUUCCUGUCAUUUGUGCAUGUAGCCUAUUACAGUAAAUAUCCAUUUUUACAUCAGAAAUAACUGCUCUCAUCAGUCCCAGAUGUCCAUCAGUAGACAGGACCAGACUCCAAUAAGCAGUGUUUUAUCCAUUGUGAGAAAAAUCAGAUGUGUCACGCCUCAUUUCACUGGAUAGUCAAACCCGAUUGACCCCUCCGUCGUUAAAAAGAAAAAGAAAAAACAAACGCCCCGGGAGAACAGCGAGAAAGGAACAAGAUAAAGCCAUGAUGGGAAGCAAUUAUGCAGAAGACGGCUCACUACAUCACUGUUUACCCCUUUCAAUUAGAUUACGUCUUUCUGCGGCUUCGUUCCCCUCUGUGUGGAACUGAUUGAUCGGAGGUGGGAGAUGAAGGUAAUGAGGUUUGGAGAGAGAUGAAGUGUAAAAACACUGGUAUGGAUGGAAAAGAAAAAGAAAGAUUAAAGGACUUGUGGUUCUUUUCUACUUAUGAAUAACAUUACUGGAUAUUCCCCUAUGAACUACUGAUAGCAAAAAUACAGUAAUAUUAGCUACUGUAUGUCUUUGUAUUGAUUCUCUGCAUUUUCUUAUUUCUAAACUUAUAAAGAAUUCAGUCAAGACAUUAAAUUAAGAUGAGAUUUUCUACAGCAUAUUAGAACAUCACAUUAAUAAUCAUGCCUAUUUAUGAAAUUACUGUUUAUAUAAAAUAAACACCAUAUUGAUACUAAGAAAGUUGGUAAAGAUGUAAACCAACAGCAAUAAAGUAAUUAAAACGAGAUAGUGAUAUAUGAAAACAGGCUGACGCUAGUUGACGUUCAGUAUGCACAAUAACUACUUUACUCUGCAACAACACAAUAAUAGCUGUACACUGUAUACUUAUAUUUUUGUUGUUCUAGUACAAUGUACACUUUUAUAUUUUAUGUUAUUUUUAGGAUGUAUUUUACUCCUUAUGUUGAUUUUAUAUUUUCUUCUACUGCUUAAACUUGAAUGAGAGCAAGUGUAACUUAAGCAAUUUCCUCUCAAUAAAGUGAUUAAUGAAGUAGAUCUCAUUCUGGUAAUGCUGGUUGAAGUAACAGCUGUUUUUAACAUUCUUUUUUUCUUUGCAGAUGCGAUCCUUUUUAAAAUCACUUCAAUCACUGUAUAAUGAUUCUUUUACUAAAUCAAGUUAAUCAAGCCCUCUAGUGAAUUAUCCUGUGUUUUCCAGCUAAGCUAAAAUAAGCUAAGAUGACUUUUAUUUUAUGAUGUUGUUAAAUUAUGUUUUUUUUUUUUACUGUUGUGUUCACAUUAUUACCUGUGUGCACCAAUGAAAGAUACGAGGACAAGAAAAGAUAAACUAAGAUAAGCUAACAUCACCUGAGCUAAGGUAAGAUAAGCUAAGUAAAACUAAGAUAAGCCAAGAUAAACCAAGCUCAGCUAAGAUAAGAUAAACUAUGAUAAGUAAGAUAAGGCAAACUAUGAUAGGAUAAUAUCAGCUUAGCUAAGAUAGAGUGAGAUAAGCUAAGCUAACAUAAGGUAAGCCAAGCUAAGAUAAGCUAAGAUAAGCUAAGCUAAGCUAAACUACAAUAGGAUAAGUUAAGAUAGGAU
Long non-coding RNA from Amphiprion ocellaris (clown anemonefish), 12765 nucleotides. RefSeq lists it as uncharacterized. Lineage: Eukaryota; Metazoa; Chordata; Actinopteri; Pomacentridae. The record is from RefSeq and is a predicted model, not a curated record. The transcript has 3 exons.